GAUGAACGCUGGCGGCGUGCCUAAUACAUGCAAGUCGAGCGAACAGACGAGGAGCUUGCUCCUCUGAUGUUAGCGGCGGACGGGUGAGUAACACGUGGAUAACCUACCUAUAAGACUGGGAUAACUUCGGGAAACCGGAGCUAAUACCGGAUAAUAUGUUGAACCGCAUGGUUCAACAGUGAAAGACGGUCUUGCUGUCACUUAUAGAUGGAUCCGCGCUGCAUUAGCUAGUUGGUAAGGUAACGGCUUACCAAGGCAACGAUGCGUAGCCGACCUGAGAGGGUGAUCGGCCACACUGGAACUGAGACACGGUCCAGACUCCUACGGGAGGCAGCAGUAGGGAAUCUUCCGCAAUGGGCGAAAGCCUGACGGAGCAACGCCGCGUGAGUGAAGAAGGUCUUCGGAUCGUAAAACUCUGUUAUUAGGGAAGAACAAAUGUGUAAGUAACUAUGCACGUCUUGACGGUACCUAAUCAGAAAGCCACGGCUAACUACGUG
Molecule: ribosomal RNA, 497 nt
Filed under: uncultured bacterium
Lineage: Bacteria
Description: partial 16S ribosomal RNA
Rfam family: Bacterial small subunit ribosomal RNA
Source: RNAcentral